GGUGAACGCUGGCGGCGUGCCUAAUACAUGCAAGUCGAGCGAACGGACGAGAAGCUUGCUUCUCUGAUGUUAGCGGCGGACGGGUGAGUAACACGUGGAUAACCUACCUAUAAGACUGGGAUAACUUCGGGAAACCGGAGCUAAUACCGGCUAAUCUUUUGAACCGCAUGGUUCAACAGUGAAAGACGGUCUUGCUGUCACUUAUAGAUGGAUCCGCGCUGCAUUAGCUAGUUGGUAAGGUAACGGCUUACCAAGGCAACGAGGCAUAGCCGACCUGACAGGGUGAUCGGCCACACUGGAACUGAGACACGGUCCAGACUCCUACGGGAGGCAGCAGUAGGGAAUCUUACGCAAUGGGCGAAUGCCUGACGGAGCAACGCCGCGUGAGUGAUGAGGGUCUUCGGAUCGUAAAACUCUGUUAUUAGGGAAGAACGUAUGUGUAAGUGGCUGUGCACGUCUUGACGGUACCUGAUCAGAAAGCCACGGCUAACUACGUG
Molecule: ribosomal RNA, 497 nt
Filed under: uncultured bacterium
Lineage: Bacteria
Description: partial 16S ribosomal RNA
Rfam family: Bacterial small subunit ribosomal RNA
Source: RNAcentral